UUGGAGUAUUCUUUUGCAUGACGCAUCUGA
Molecule: non-coding RNA, 30 nt
Filed under: Mus musculus (house mouse)
Lineage: Eukaryota; Metazoa; Chordata; Mammalia; Rodentia; Muridae
Source: RNAcentral